This 468-nucleotide ribosomal RNA is filed under the name uncultured bacterium. Its description in RNAcentral is "partial 16S ribosomal RNA". It matches the Rfam family "Bacterial small subunit ribosomal RNA", at positions 28 to 507 of the family's 1533-position model. The record is from RNAcentral.
GACGAACGCUGGCGGCGCGCCUAACACAUGCAAGUCGAACGGAGCUGAGAGAAGCUUGCUUUUCUUAGCUUAGUGGCGAACGGGUGAGUAACGCGUGAGUAACCUGCCCUGGAGUGGGGGACAACAGUUGGAAACGACUGCUAAUACCGCAUAAGCCCACGAUCCGGCAUCGGAUUGAGGGAAAAGGAUUUAUUCACUUCAGGAUGGACAUCCAUCCAAUUAUUUAGUUGGUGAGGUAACAGCCCACCAAGGCGACGAUGGUACGCCGGCCUGAUAGGUGGACCGGCAACAUUGGGACUGGGACCCGGACCAGACUCCUACGGGAGGCAGCAGUGGGGGAUAUUGCACAAUGGGGGAAACCAUGAUGCAGCGACGCCGCGUGGAGGAAGAAGGUUUUAGGAUUGUAAACUACUGUCGUUAGGGAAGAUAAUGACGGUACCUACCAAGAAAGCAACGGCUAACUACGUG